Molecule: long non-coding RNA, 1879 nt
Filed under: Eufriesea mexicana
Lineage: Eukaryota; Metazoa; Arthropoda; Insecta; Hymenoptera; Apidae
Description: uncharacterized LOC108547068
Source: RNAcentral
GCAAUAGUUGCGAGAGAACGGUUGAUCGAAUCGAAAGAGGACAGCUUGUUUUCAUCCCGAACAGAAUUCGCGUGGGAGGUGGUCGGAAAGGAAUAUUCUGGUGGGGGUGACGGUUGCCCCUGUUUAUUCCCCCACCAAUGCCACUACUCUUUCCAUCUCUAUCGCUCUGCCCACACCACGAAGAGGUUUCCCGAGCGUUGGUCGGUGGUGUUCGAGGUAGGGAAGGUUCGUGUCCAGUCGUCGUCGGAGUUUCUGAUAGUGGGACCACGCGACUGUUGCCGUCUUAUCGCCUCUUGCUUUUUAUCAAUGGAGAGCUCGUGUCACCGUCUUUCACGUUUACGUACGCACGCCUCGCGAUUACGCUCAACGACGCACGCGCGAUAUCGUGAGGAGAAGAGAAACAGACGCUCUGGACGCCCGAUUCCAAGGGAGACCAGCCUGGAAUCCUGCCCGUCCCGUUUCUGGACGACGGAUAGUUUCUCACGACUCGAAGAGAAGUCGAUGGAAUAAAACAAGUUGGUCCAGAGGUCCGCGGUGUGUAUCACUUCGGUUGAUAGCUUCGCUCGAAGCCUGGCUACGGUUUUUUUCUAUUCGAUAUAUCGAAUACCUCGCACGAGCGAACCAGAAAGGAAGAAUUCACCUUGGAAGCUUAAUGCACUGUAGAAAAAACGAGGAAGGACGUGAUUUUUGUUCUCCUUGUUAUCGGUGAAAGAGCAUAUUCGGGUGCAGGUCAAGCGAAGGAAAGAAAAAGAACCGUUCAGAGACUCGGUCGCAGUCCGUACGCUCUACUCAACUAGUCUCGGUUGACUUUACUUCGAUGGAGUUGGACAGCCUGACGCGGCCGAGAAAACUAUCGUGGACAGGACGAAUUUGAUCCGCUUCUGGUCCUACCCGCUCUUUUGACGCUCUGGUUUCGUUACUGGAAGAGAAACGAAAAGAAACCGGCUACAGGGAAAGUCGAUUGACACUGGAGCAGUCCCCUGGGCUGGUAUCGGACCACUGAAACAGGGAAUCGACUAAAUUCUAAAUAGAUUCGUUCACGAAUCGAUGAAAAAUAUUUACGGAUAUCGAAAUUAAUAUCGAAAUUAGACACCCUACAUAUAGUACAGAUAAAAAGGAAAGAAAUUCGGCAACUAAAGGCAAGUUUUCACGAGAGUAAUGAGUCAACGAGGCAUGUCUAAUUAAAGACAAAUCGGAUCUCGAUCGAAAGAGCGAAUAAUAUCGGUGUGCUUGGAUCUAUGUAGUUGUAUGUUUCGAGGAAAAGUAUUUUUAAGGGCGUAUUUUUGAGAAUGAUCGCCUAGCGGAGCCAAAGAGUCUGCCGAGAGUAAAUUAAGCCUGGGCAAAGUUCGAUUGAAAAUCAGGCCUUGAAUUUUGACGCGUGUCUCUGGAAAACCACUGGAUAUCCUUUGUUUGGUACAAAUUAAUCCUCGGAAGUCCGAGCCAGAGUCGCGACGGACGGAAUUCGAACUAAAUUGGGUUUGCGGAAGAGCACGUGACCGAGAGAAACUUGGAGGGAAAACAGUAAAGCAGGACAACUUUAAUCAGACGAUCAACCGAAAAGCUACACACGAACACACACACGUUAAGCAGAUAGUGAUAGACGAUACAGCGAAGACGCAAAAACUGGGAAAGAAAGGAGGAGAGAGACCGCGAAAGAAGACAGAGACAGGAGAGAGGAGAGGCUUUAGGGAGAGACUCCACGCCAGAGUGGUUUGAACGCGGACCCACUGAUGCUAUAGUAGUACAGUUGGAGGAGCCAGCAGGAGCUGUCCGUUUAACCGAAGUGUCGUGCAGGAACGCGUUAUGGUGGCGAAUAGCAGCUGACAGCGCGCGGCCACACAGAAAUUCAGUGUAAGGGAGGACCGGCGAGGAGCUUCUU